RNAcentral lists this non-coding RNA (47 nucleotides) under Cinara cedri. It matches the Rfam family "Histone 3' UTR stem-loop". Rfam says of the family: The mRNAs of metazoan histone genes lack a poly-A tail. 3' end processing occurs at a site between a highly conserved stem-loop (modelled by this family) and a purine rich region around 20 nts downstream (the histone downstream element, or HDE). The record is from RNAcentral. Lineage: Eukaryota; Metazoa; Arthropoda; Insecta; Hemiptera; Aphididae.
AAAACGGCCCUUUUCAGGGCCACUAAACUUUAUAUAUUAAUCCGAAU